This 601-nucleotide ribosomal RNA is filed under the name uncultured bacterium. RNAcentral's name for it is "bacterial SSU rRNA". It matches the Rfam family "Bacterial small subunit ribosomal RNA", at positions 74 to 653 of the family's 1533-position model. The record is from RNAcentral.
GCCUCUUCGGAGGUGAGUAAAGUGGCGAACGGGUGAGUAACGCGUAAUCAAGCUACCCCCGAGAUCGGGAUAACCGUGGGAAACUGCGGCUAAUACCGAAUGGUCUUGCCGGAACGCAUGUUCUGGCAAGUAAAGGUGGGGAUCCUUCGGGACCUGCCGCUUGGGGAGGCGAUUGCGACCUAUCAGCUUGUUGGUGGUGUAACGGACCACCAAGGCGACGACGGGUAGCGGGCCUGAGAGGGUGGCCCGUCACACUGGGACUGAGACACUGCCCAGACUCCUACGGGAGGCUGCAGUCGAGAAUCUUCCGCAAUGGACGCAAGUCUGACGGAGCGACGCCGCGUGUAGGACGAAGGCCCUUGGGUUGUAAACUACUGUCACGAGUCAUGAAUGCGUAGGCGUUAAUAGCGCCUGCGUUGACGUAAGCUCGAGAGGAAGCACCGGCUAACUCUGUGCCAGCAGCCGCGGUAACACAGAGGGUGCAAACGUUGUUCGGAAUCACUGGGCAUAAAGCGCACGUAGGCGGCUUGGUAAGUGUGAAGUGAAAGCCCACGGCUCACCCGUGGAACUGCCUUGCAUACUGCCUGGCUCGAGGACGGUA